Molecule: long non-coding RNA, 2017 nt
Organism: Falco peregrinus (peregrine falcon)
Lineage: Eukaryota; Metazoa; Chordata; Aves; Falconiformes; Falconidae
Exons: 3
Source: RefSeq, a predicted model, not a curated record
UCUAUAUAAGAGUAGCUACUAUGGUGUCCAGAGCAUAAGUACUGGCUCAGUGGCCAUAAACAUGCCAUUGCCUUUCUCUUCAUCUUACCGACUUUAGACGGUCAGCAAUACUAGUUCUGCUCUAUUCUGUUCCUCUGUUAGAAAUCCAAGGUCUCCACUAAUACCCAGAAGGUUGCACCUCCAUCGAAAUGGAACUAGAAUGUGCUGCUGUUAAUUUAAAGUCUGGUCCACCUGUUUCAAGCAACCUAAGCCCCCUCCAAGCUCACGGCAGGCAGCUGGUGGCAUCAGAGCUGGCAGCAGCAACCUUUGGACCAAGCUCCACAGGGUGAGUGCUGAAGAACUGGAUGGAGCAGGAGCCAAAAUACCUUUCCACCCUUACCAGCUCCCAUCGAAAAGAGUUUGAGGAAGGUUAUAGCAUGUGUGGAAAACUGACAGUAACUGUACUGAGAAUGUAAAUUAUUUAAUAAACACAUUUUCUGAGUUCAAUUUAGUAUAUUUCUUGGUCAUUCAAUGAAUCCAUUGCCUAUAAAUAAAAUACAUUAAUAAGCUAGUAUCAAAAGUAACUAUUUGUGUCCUGUUUUGCUACUGGUAGCUUUAAAAAUCUUUUUUCUUGUGUAGCUUCUGUAAAAUCUAAAUCGACUUUAAGUUUCAAAGCAAUGUAACUAAAUCUAUCUUGGAUUCUUCUCCUAAAAGUUUACAUCUGCGUAUCUUUCUCACACUUACAUAUUGUGUUACGAACUAUGAUAAAACAUCUUGUUUUCUAACGAUAUGUUAAUUUGUGAAGAUCAAUGAUAAACAAUUCACUUGAGACUGUUCCCAAAAAGAUCUGUGUUCAAAUGCCUGUUAACUGGAUGUAAGUAAAUUAUGCAAAAGUUUAAUUUGAUAAAUGAAUAUAUCUUUUUCUAUGAAGACAGAAAUUCAUCAUUUGUUUAUUCUGUUACACAAAACCACUUUUAAAGGUGUAAUAUUCUAAAAAAAAGUAUAACCUUGCCAAAGUUGAACCUCACAGUGUUUCAAAUGACUGUCUAAAAAAUACUGCAGUCCUUUGCCAACAUAAAUCUUUAGAGCUGCUUCUUAUUCUUAUGACUCCCAUGAGUUUAGCAAAAUUCUGUCUUUCACUUCAGUUUUCCAAUGAAAAUGAAAUUGGUUAUUGUGAAUGCACAUUUAUCCUAAGUAUAACUUAGACUAUAUAGCUAUAUAUUGCAAUUCAAUGUAAAAUCUCUAUCUAGUGGCCUCUACUACUUCUGCUACACAGAUUAUGCAUAAGAAACGCCAAUGUAUUAACCUAUUAUUGCUGAAAUGGCUGGAGACCUGGGCUGUAAAUCGAGACAAAAUUACAACGAAGAAAAGGUUAUAAUCUGCUUUAUUUGAUAUUUACAUUCAUAUUCAAAACUAGGUCAUAAAUUUGGCUAAUUUUGUAAGAAAUAAAGGAAGGUCAAAAAAAGAUUAGCCCAGAGCUUAAACCCCCUUCUGCAGAACUAUUACACAACACAUGCAUAAAAACACUUUCCUUAUUGUUAUUCAGGGAUUUUGAAGGCAAUUACAUUAAGGUCUUAAUUAAUAACACCUUCCUGGAAUGUGAUGUGCUCGCUGUGUUGUCAGUAAAAGAAGUAUGAAAAUAAGGCAGCAAAAGCCUUUUGAAUAUGCAAGACUCUCAGCCCUCAACACAGGAUUUGUGUGAAUGUAUGAAGCCUCAUUGGGACAGUUGCGUUAUUGUCCAUGAGGCAUUCUUUACACUUAAUGUAAUUAUUGUAUGCGUAGUCACAUGGCACGUUGUGGCAAUUGUCACGAUCCCUUGUUUCAACCAACAGAAAAAGAAACAGACACCCUGUAUUAUAUCUGCCUUGUGACCACAUCAUGAGCACCAGGGUGCUUUUUAAACUCCACUAAACGCUGGGACUUGCAAUCUGAUCACAAAGCAGAAACAAUGUAGUAUGCCUGUAUCUCCACCUGCACAGUUUUUUUCUUGUUGAAUCCAUCCCUCCUUCAGACUAGUUUUUACCUUUGCAGGAAACCU